This is a long non-coding RNA of Fopius arisanus, 630 nucleotides long. RefSeq lists it as uncharacterized. The record is from RefSeq and is a predicted model, not a curated record. NCBI's taxonomy places the organism in Eukaryota, Metazoa, Arthropoda, Insecta, Hymenoptera, Braconidae. The transcript has 3 exons.
CUGACAGAUCCUACUUUUUCUUCAUCAUUUUAUUUUAUUGAUAACAUAUAUUAUCCCGUCGGAGUAUCACCAUUUCAAUUAUGUCGGAAUUUUCAACUGCUUGAUCAUCUCAAGCAUCCUACAAUCAAGCUGUUACUGUCAAUUCAUCAGAGCUUUCUCAGAUCGAACCUGAUAUCCCUGAUCCCAACCUCUUUACUGACUAUGAUUUGCUGACUUCAUCUGAGUAUUUACAGGAAAUUUACCCAUUCACAACCAAACUUGUUGAGAUCGUUGUUAUCGUCCAUCUCGUCAAAGGUGUGGAGACAGUCAAAUGUAAAAAUGGAACUGUGAAUACCGUAUGCACUUUUUAUGUUCACAAUAACGAUGGGAAAAGUGUCCAAUGUGUAAUGUGGGGUGAUACGAUUGAGAAGUUUAUCGAUAAACUUGUAGUACAACACGUAAUUCAUAUCGAAGGAAGUUUCCCAAAAUCAGUCUCUGAUCAAUUUAAUUCUGGAACCACUCCUUAUGAAUUGGUUUUACAGUCCAAUACCAUCGUGACUGAUUUGGGUAAGAUCAAACUUCCUUCAGUUGCUGAAUUGAAUGAUUCUGUUCCGGUCGUUCCUUUGAUCAAUGUGGCGGAACAUAAGAAAA